RNAcentral lists this long non-coding RNA (2450 nucleotides) under Medicago truncatula (barrel medic). RNAcentral's name for it is "long non-coding RNA (MTRU_LNC008281)". Lineage: Eukaryota; Viridiplantae; Streptophyta; Magnoliopsida; Fabales; Fabaceae. The record is from RNAcentral.
CAUGCGAAUAAUAUAUUUAUUCAAGAAAUAGAGGUUACAUCACAUUCAAAAUUCAAAACCAAUAAACAUGUAUAUAAACUUCAACAGUAGCAGCGGAAUAUAAAUCAGAGGAAUCCAAAUAUACAUGUCAUAAACCAAAUAUUACAUCACAUAGAUGAAUCUCAAAAAUCCCCACAUACGGGUAAACUCCAAACAUAACAAAAUCCAAAGAAAACUAAUCUAGACCGACACGACAAGUCUAGAUCAGAGCCAACUCUAACGAAGAUAUCGGAGAAAGCUCUCGAUAUCCACCAAGCACGGAACUCACCGAGCAACUACUCCUGCACAACGUCUACUCACCCAUAUAGGCAAGCAGGCGGACAAACCACUGGGGGUAAGUAUUACAUCAUCAUAAUUCAAAUAACAGUUAAUCAUGGAUAUUUCAAUAUAACAUCAUGCAUUUGAUCAAUAACAAUAUACUUACAUCAAACUCCAAUAUCUCACAUCAAUAAUCUCCAAUCACAUGUGUCAUGAACGAAUAUCAACUUACAAUUAUUCAUACACCAUUAUCAAUCAUAUAUAUCAUGAACAAUCACCAAUCAUAUUCCAUAGUAAUCAUCAAAUCACAUUUGAUGAACAAUCACCAAUCACAUUUAUCAAAUAAGACUCAUGUCAUGAUAUGCACUUAUUGACUCAAAAAUGCAUGUGGUACCGAAUCACCUCCAGGUCGUCACCUUUGAUGCCUCUUGAACAUCAUAUGUAAGAUUUCACACCCGUCUUACAUAAUCUCCGAAGUAAAAGAGCUUAACCCUUUUACAACUACAAAUACAACACGACUAUGAUGCAUGGACAUGUAAUAAGACUCGAUAAUGCGACAACAAUCACAAUUCUCAACACAAUAUAUAGGACAACACCCAAUUAUAUUGUUCAUCUCCACAUCAAUUGCAUUAUCAAGAAAACAUGCCCACACACAAUUAAAUCAUAGUAUUCAUCAUCCCACAUUAACAUGAUUAUCAAUAAUCAACGACAUCAUUCAACAUCACUAUAUCAAAUAGUUUCAUCAUUUCAUUAUAUCUCAUAUCCCAAGUAACAAGAAAACACAACGUAUUAUGAUUAAUAUCAUAUCCAACAUCUAUCUAUUCAUUACAUAUCUCUAUUCAGUCAUAAAGGCUAGUCAUGAAAAUAUAACAAAGUAUUUAGUUAAAGGAACCAUUUUCCAAGCUAUCCAUCAAACAAAUCAAGAACAUUGAAAGCCUCGACUAAGUAUAUACACCGAUCACUCAUGAGUGCAGUGGCGUAUACAUCAACGUUUCAUGGACCAAUUCAUUUAAGAUGGCAAAGUUUUGGAAGUUUAAGCAAUUAUUCUUAAUGAAAAGAUAAUUCAUUUUCAAAACGAACCAAGUUAGAUUCCAACACAACUGAAGUUAAACACUCUUAAACCUUGAAUUGAACUCAUAAUAAACAAACUUUAAAGUCCGGAAACAAUCUAAAAGUUUUGGGUUGACUUAGAGUUAGUUAUGCGAAAUUUUCGUGAAACCUCAAUAAGACCUCCUUGGAGUUUUUGUAACAUAACUCAAAAAUUAAAACUUAUUUCCAAGUCAAACCAAAGCCAUUAGAAAGCCAACAUCAUUAUCUACAACUUUUAUGUUAACCAAAAAGUCCAAAUCAAAACAGAAAUAUGAGAAAACGAUGCAAGAACGAGAAACGGGGAAAACUGACACUGAGCAGUUCGCCUGGUGAGGAAGGUUGCUCGCCUGGCGAAACAAGUCAGGUUGCAGAAAAUUAUGUUACGGGAAAAAUCCAUUUUCAUCCCAAAAUCCCAAAUUUUGACUUCCCAAUGCCCAAAUUGGAAUCCAAAGUUUGUAUGAACGUUUCUAAUCUUGAAAAGACACUCAAUUCCAUAUAACCACUUGAAUCUAACAUCAUUUUAAACAAAAUCAUCAUUUGACCCAUUUUUGCAAAACAACCAACAACAUCUUAUUUCUCACUAACAAUCAUGAUAUAUGAACACCCAAGCCAUAAAUCAUAGCAACAACAUAUCUCAGCAACAACAACAUCAAUUGAAACUUGUUUCUCACCUCAAUUCAACAACAACAUGUCAUAAUUCAUCAAUUAAGCAUAAUUUCACAACUACCCAUUUUCAAACAUUAUGAACAUGUUAUUUCAUCACCAACAAUUCAUUUAUCAUUCAAUUAACAUACUCAAACUUAUCACCAAAACAAGAGCACGAAAUUCAAGAAUUGGGUUCAUUAUAAUCACUUAUUCUCAUAAUCAAUUAUGCAUAGAACAAGAGAAAAAGAAUUAACUAAGUGAUUAUGAUAAAGACUAACCUCCUUACCUUAAUUAUCUCCAACUAUUAACUCUAGCUUCACUUUUGCUCCUAUGAUUCUUCAAUCUUCAAGUUUCCCCUUUCUCUAACCCUUGUUCUUCCUUUCUCCCACUUUCUCUCUCUACCUCUCUAUAACUUUGUG